This 253-nucleotide ribosomal RNA is filed under the name uncultured bacterium. Its description in RNAcentral is "partial 16S ribosomal RNA". It matches the Rfam family "Bacterial small subunit ribosomal RNA", at positions 524 to 776 of the family's 1533-position model. The record is from RNAcentral.
UACGUAGGCAGCAAGCGUUGUUCGGAGUUACUGGGCGUAAAGAGUGCGUAGGUGGUGCCCUAAGUCUGUUGUGAAAUCUCCCGGCUUAACUGGGAGGGUGCGGUGGAAACUGGGGUGCUUGAGUGUGGGAGAGGUAAGCGGAAUUCCUGGUGUAGCGGUGAAAUGCGUAGAUAUCAGGAGGAACACCGGUGGCGAAGGCGGUUCUCUGGGCAUUACCUGACGCUGAGGCGCGAAAGCAUGGGGAGCGAACGGG